AGGGGUGUAGCUCAGGUAGGUAGAGCAGCGGUCUCCAAAACCGUGUGUCGCAGGUUCGAGUCCUGCCACCCCUG
This 74-nucleotide transfer RNA is filed under the name Amycolatopsis cihanbeyliensis. It matches the Rfam family "tRNA". Rfam says of the family: Transfer RNA (tRNA) molecules are approximately 80 nucleotides in length. Lineage: Bacteria; Bacillati; Actinomycetota; Actinomycetes; Pseudonocardiales; Pseudonocardiaceae. The record is from Rfam by way of RNAcentral.